AGCUACAUCCCGUGGGGCUCCAGUCUGUGCGUGUAGCACCAUGGGAUUCAGCUCA
This 55-nucleotide microRNA precursor is filed under the name Heliconius melpomene (postman butterfly). RNAcentral describes it as "Hme-Mir-29-P2h_pre stem-loop". The record is from RNAcentral. Lineage: Eukaryota; Metazoa; Arthropoda; Insecta; Lepidoptera; Nymphalidae.